CCCCGCGUGGCCGGAGGUGAGCCGUCCUCCCCUCCCGCGGGCGCGCGGCCGAGUGAGUCACCGUCGCGUCCCUGCCUGGCGUGCCCGCCCGGGGACCGAGCUCACGGUGAUUCGACAGCCACUGGGAGGCUCGGGGUGCCUUCCCUGGAAAGGACACACUCUGUAAGGAGGACCCUCCUAAUUCGCUUUCACCCACGGCUCGAGUGGUGUUCGCCCUGGGAGCAGGCUUGCAGGUCUUGCAGGCAAGCAAGGCGCCUUAGGCUUGGGCUGGCCUCAGCCUUCUAGUCUGGGGGACUCCAAAGCGUCAAGUUAAAUAAGUUCGAGUCUUUUACUUUAUUGAUGUCUUACCCAGAAAUACCCAAGAAUGCCUCCAGGCGCUCUCUGGACUUAGGUAUAUGCACCCUCCGGGCCACUGGAGGUGGGGUUCAGUGAGAGAAACCCAAUGCAAGGCAGGAGUCAAGAACUCUUCGCGGGGUUUGGAAACCUGGGGCCUAAAGCAUUCUUCUAGGGCCACUUGGCGGUGACAGACAUUGCUAAUGUUUCUGCUCCCCAGUGAGCCCAGCUCAGUGAUGAAGGCGCCUCGGAUGCUUAAUGCAUUCCAAGCACUAGACUGUACCUCCUGUGAUUAGGCUGAAGUGUUUCUGAGGGGGAGCGAGAAAAGCGGAUGUCUUUCUCGUUAGAUUCCACAUCUGUGGGAAGAAGAGUGAGUCCCUGCAGGAAUGAUUAGGCUCUUUCCUUACACCUAAUUAGAACUGAUUGCUUGUAGAUGUCUAUGACGGCCCCCUGCUGAAGUCCUCCUGUAUGCAAAUACUGUUGGUAUUCCAGCCCACUGAGUGACUUGAAGUUGCAUGGGGAAGAUUUUUGAAAAGGACUGAUAUGAGGACAAACUGUCGUCUGUGCAAGAAGAUAGUGGCAAUGUGUGUGAAAGGGGAAGGAGAAUAAGAUGGCUUCAAGCAAGAAGGAUUGCACAGAGAUCCAAAAAUGAGUUCCAUAAAACUCAAGCAGUGAAGGACCCAAGUAGAAUAUGGGAGUUUGGAUUUGAGGAAGUGGCCAGGACCAAAGGGCAAGCUUCUGGCUCAGGGACUUGGGAUAAAGACUGGACACAGAUCUGUCAUUCCCUCCUCCACCUCUCCUAGCUGUGAUUCAGCUCCUACUGGGUUAGAGAGGCCCCUGAAUUCCUUGGCUUGUGGUGCACUCCAUCUUCGAAACCAGCAACAUGGUGUCUCUGACAUCUCCUCAGGUUCUGAGUAAAGGACCCUUGUGACUGGACUGGGACCACCUGCCUCACUCCUCAACUCAGGUCCUUGAUGUGAUCUCAUCUGCUAUGUCAGUUACCUAUAGGCUGGUUCUCAAACACAUGCGCAGACAUCUGAGAAGACGGGAUUAUUUUGCCUACCACAUAUAUUAUUUUUCUGAAAAAUACCUUGAAUAAUUUAUUUUGUGUUCACGCUGAGGAAGGACUUGGACAGUACAUCUUCUUGCUCUUUUCACUUGGUCCUGUUUUAAGGAAAUGAAAGCUAUAGCUUAAUUGGUACUCACUAUUCCAUGGUAUGAAUAUGAUACUAUGUAUGUGACUACUCCACUAUGAAGAAAAAUUUUAUUUAUUUUGUUUAAGACUCUGCAGUAUGCUCUCUUAACUGCUGAGCCUCAACAGGUAUUUCUUUGCUGUUGUACUGAGUCAUGAAACUGAAGAUGUUUUUGUGUUUCAGGAUCCUUCUUUGCUCUUCAGUAGCUGUGGGGCUAUUUUUCAUUUUCUUUUCCUUACCUGCUUUUUCACUCUGGGUUCUUUGGUCACCCUCUCUUGGUCUUUAUCCUGUCAUUUCAUUUCCGUCCCCAGGUGUGUUCCUUUGCAUUUGUGUGACUCUGAGAAUAGCUUCAAACAGAUCUAGUAGUCCACCCUUGACCACCAGGGACACUUUGCCUGAGUCACUGCGGUGUAGUAGAUAGCCAUUCCAGCUUUGGCCUGGAAGUUCCAACCCCCAUU
Long non-coding RNA from Onychomys torridus (southern grasshopper mouse), 1984 nucleotides. RefSeq lists it as uncharacterized. Lineage: Eukaryota; Metazoa; Chordata; Mammalia; Rodentia; Cricetidae. The transcript has 5 exons. The record is from RefSeq and is a predicted model, not a curated record.